This 69-nucleotide transfer RNA is filed under the name Laemobothrion sp. RNAcentral describes it as "tRNA-Ile". The record is from RNAcentral. Lineage: Eukaryota; Metazoa; Arthropoda; Insecta; Psocodea; Laemobothriidae.
ACUAGAGUGCCUGAGUUAAGGAAUACUUUGAUAAAGUAUACAUGGUAUAAGAGAUUAUACCCUCUAGUA